UAGCUAGUUGGUGAGGUAACGGCCCACCAAGGCGACGAUCGGUAGCCGGACUGAGAGGUUGAACGGCCACAUUGGGACUGAGACAUGGCCCAGACUCCUACGGGGGGCAGCAGUGGGGAAUAUUGCACAAUGGGGGAAACCCUGAUGCAGCGACGCCGCGUGGAGGAAGAAGGUCUUCGGAUUGUAAACUCCUGUUGUUGAGGAAGAUAAUGACGGUACUCAACAAGGAAGUGACGGCUAACUACGUGCCAGCAGCCGCGGUAAAACGUAGGUCACAAGCGUUGUCCGGAAUUACUGGGUGUAAAGGGAGCGCAGGCGGGAAGACAAGUUGGAAGUGAAAUCCAUGGGCUCAACCCAUGAACUGCUUUCAAAACUGUUUUUCUUGAGUAGUGCAGAGGUAGGCGGAAUUCCCGGUGUAGCGGUGGAAUGCGUAGAUAUCGGGAGGAACACCAGUGGCGAAGGCGGCCUACUGGGCACCAACUGACGCUGAGGCUCGAAAGUGUGGGUAGCAAACAGGAUUAGAUACCCUGGUAGUCCACACUGUAAACGAUGAUUACUAGGUGUUGGAGGAUUGACCCCUUCAGUGCCGCAGUUAACACAAUAAGUAAUCCACCUGGGGAGUACGACCGCAAGGUUGAAACUCAAAGGAAUUGACGGGGGCCCGCACAAGCAGUGGAGUAUGUGGUUUAAUUCGAUGCAACGCGAAGAACCUUACCAAGUCUUGACAUCCUGCGACGCACAUAGAAAUAUGUGUUUCCUUCGGGACGCAGAGACAGGUGGUGCAUGGUUGUCGUCAGCUCGUGUCGUGAGAUGUUGGGUUAAGUCCCGCAACGAGCGCAACCCUUAUGGUCAGUUACUACGCAAGAGGACUCUGGCCAGACUGCCGUUGACAAAACGGAGGAAGGUGGGGAUGACGUCAAAUCAUCAUGCCCUUUAUGACUUGGGCUACACACGUACUACAAUGGCGUUAAACAAAGAGAAGCAAGACCGCGAGGUGGAGCAAAACUCAGAAACAACGUCCCAGUUCGGACUGCAGGCUGCAACUCGCCUGCACGAAGUCGGAAUUGCUAGUAAUCGCAGAUCAGCAUGCUGCGGUGAAUACGUUCCCGGGCCUUGUACACACCGCCCGUCACACCAUGAGAGCCGGGGGGACCCGAAGUCGGUAGUCUAACCGCAAGGAGGACGCCGCCGAAGGUAAAACUGGUGAUUGGGGUGAAGUCGUAACAAGGUAA
Molecule: ribosomal RNA, 1232 nt
Filed under: metagenome
Description: bacterial SSU rRNA
Rfam family: Bacterial small subunit ribosomal RNA
Source: RNAcentral